This is a long non-coding RNA of Cucurbita moschata (crookneck pumpkin), 357 nucleotides long. RefSeq lists it as uncharacterized. The transcript is spliced from 6 exons. Lineage: Eukaryota; Viridiplantae; Streptophyta; Magnoliopsida; Cucurbitales; Cucurbitaceae. The record is from RefSeq and is a predicted model, not a curated record.
UCUCUCUGUUCUAAUUCGAAGUUCAAAAUGGGGUACCCACCCUGUGCAUUGGUAUUUCACUUCAGCACUUCCACGAUCAUUACUUGCUGGAUAUCCUCUUUUUCUGGUGAGUCUUUCUGAACCAUGUUAACAGAAGACAUUACGUCUGAAACUUCUCAUCUUGUUUUCUUAUGCCUGUAGACUCGUAUACCAGUUUGGAAUGCUUUUCUGGAAUCUUGUUCAGUGUACUAUUAACUUGUUAGUUUCUAGAAAUUCAACAGUUAAUUUCACAAUGAUAAAACAAGAUUUUAUAGUUUCUGUAUGGCAAUAUUACUCAUUGAAAUGUGACAUUUGUGUAAAAAAAAAAAAAAAAAAAAA